GCCCGAGUGGCGGAAUUGGUAGACGCGUUGGUCUCAAAAACCAAUGAGAUUUUCUCGUGCCGGUUCGAUUCCGGCCUCGGGUACCA
This 86-nucleotide transfer RNA is filed under the name Bacteroidetes bacterium ADurb.Bin041. RNAcentral's name for it is "tRNA-Leu". It matches the Rfam family "tRNA". Rfam says of the family: Transfer RNA (tRNA) molecules are approximately 80 nucleotides in length. Lineage: Bacteria; Pseudomonadati; Bacteroidota. RNAcentral also lists the same sequence under 3 other names. The record is from RNAcentral.